GCAGUCGACGGCAGCAUAGGAGCUUGCUCCUGAUGGCGAGUGGCGAACGGGUGAGUAAUAUAUCGGAACGUGCCCUAGAGUGGGGGAUAACUAGUCGAAAGACUAGCUAAUACCGCAUACGAUCUACGGAUGAAAGUGGGGGAUCGCAAGACCUCAUGCUCCUGGAGCGGCCGAUAUCUGAUUAGCUAGUUGGUGGGGUAAAAGCCUACCAAGGCAACGAUCAGUAGCUGGUCUGAGAGGACGACCAGCCACACUGGGACUGAGACACGGCCCAGACUCCUACGGGAGGCAGCAGUGGGGAAUUUUGGACAAUGGGGGCAACCCUGAUCCAGCAAUGCCGCGUGAGUGAAGAAGGCCUUCGGGUUGUAAAGCUCUUUUGUCAGGGAAGAAACGGUAGUAGCGAAUAACUAUUACUAAUGACGGUACCUGAAGAAUAAGCACCGGCUAACUACGUGCCAGCAGCCGCGGUAAUACGUAGGGUGCAAGCGUUAAUCGGAAUUACUGGGCGUAAAGCGUGCGCAGGCGGUUGUGUAAGUCAGAUGUGAAAUCCCCGGGCUCAACCUGGGAAUUGCAUUUGAGACUGCACGGCUAGAGUGUGUCAGAGGGGGGUAGAAUUCCACGUGUAGCAGUGAAAUGCGUAGAUAUGUGGAGGAAUA
Molecule: ribosomal RNA, 656 nt
Filed under: Herbaspirillum huttiense
Lineage: Bacteria; Pseudomonadati; Pseudomonadota; Betaproteobacteria; Burkholderiales; Oxalobacteraceae
Description: bacterial SSU rRNA
Rfam family: Bacterial small subunit ribosomal RNA
Source: RNAcentral